Molecule: ribosomal RNA, 393 nt
Filed under: uncultured bacterium
Lineage: Bacteria
Description: partial 16S ribosomal RNA
Rfam family: Bacterial small subunit ribosomal RNA
Source: RNAcentral
AUACGGAGGAUCCGAGCGUUAUCCGGAUUUAUUGGGUUUAAAGGGUGCGCAGGCGGGAGAUUAAGUCGGCGGUGAAAAUUUUCGGCUCAACUGUAAAAGAGCCUUCGAAACUGGGUUCCUUGAGUGUAGAUGACGUCGGCGGAAUUUGUGGUGUAGCGGGGGAAUGCAUAGAUAUCACGAGGAACUCCGAUUGCGCAGGCAGCUUACUAAACUACUACCGACGCUCAGGCACGAAGGCGUGGGGAUCAAACAGGAUUAGAUACCCUGGUAGUCCACGCAGUAAACGAUGAUUACUAGCUGUUUGCGAUACAAUGUAAGCGGCUGAGCGAAAGCGUUAAGUAAUCCACCUGGGGAGUACGUUCGCAAGAAUGAAACUCAAAUGAAUUGACGGGG